CCUACGGGAGGCAGCAGUGAGGAAUAUUGGACAAUGGGCGCAAGCCUGAUCCAGCCAUGCCGCGUGCAGGAAGACGGUCCUAUGGAUUGUAAACUGCUUUUAUACAGGAAGAAAUACUUUCUCGUGAGAGAGCUUGACGGUACUGUAAGAAUAAGGAUCGGCUAACUCCGUGCCAGCAGCCGCGGUAAUACGGAGGAUCCAAGCGUUAUCCGGAAUCAUUGGGUUUAAAGGGUCCGUAGGCGGUUUAAUAAGUCAGUGGUGAAAUCUGGUCGCUCAACGAUCAAACGGCCAUUGAUACUGUUAGACUUGAAUUAUUGUGAAGUAACUAGAAUAUGUAGUGUAGCGGUGAAAUGCUUAGAUAUUACAUGGAAUACCAAUUGCGAAGGCAGGUUACUAACAAUGGAUUGACGCUGAUGGACGAAAGCGUGGGGAGCGAACAGGAUUAGAUACCCUGGUAGUCCACGCCGUAAACGAUGGAUACUAGCUGUUGGGCGCAAGUUCAGUGGCUAAGCGAAAGUGAUAAGUAUCCCACCUGGGGAGUACGUUCGCAGAUGAACUCAAAGGAAUUGACGGNGAGAGAGNGCGAGACGACGACGAGGGAGGAGG
Molecule: ribosomal RNA, 606 nt
Filed under: uncultured bacterium
Lineage: Bacteria
Description: bacterial SSU rRNA
Rfam family: Bacterial small subunit ribosomal RNA
Source: RNAcentral